GAUGAACGCUGGCGGCGUGCCUAACACAUGCAAGUCGAGCGAACAGACGCGGAGCUUGCUCGUCUGACGUUAGGGGCGGAGGGGUGAGUAACACGUGGAUAACCUACCUAUAAGACUGGGAUAACUUCGGGAAACCGGAGCUAAUACCGGAUAAUAUCUUGAACCGCAUGGUUGAUUAGUGAAAGACGGUUUUGCUGUCAGUUAUAGAUGGAUCCGCGCCGCAUUAGCUAGUUGGUACGGUAACGGCCUACCAAGGCAACGAUGCGUAGCCGACGUGAGGGGCUGAUCGGCGACACGGGAGCGGAGACGCCGACCAGACUCCUACGGGAGGCAGCAGUAGCGAACCGUCCGCAACAGUCGGAAGCAUGGCGGAGCAACGCCGCGUCAGUGGUGAAGGCCUUCGGAGCGUAAUGCUCUUCUUUUAGUGAUGAACAAAUGUGUAAGUAACUGUGCACGUCUUGACGGUACCUAGUCAAAAAGCCCCGGCUAACUACGUG
This 497-nucleotide ribosomal RNA is filed under the name uncultured bacterium. RNAcentral's name for it is "partial 16S ribosomal RNA". It matches the Rfam family "Bacterial small subunit ribosomal RNA", at positions 28 to 507 of the family's 1533-position model. The record is from RNAcentral.